RNAcentral lists this ribosomal RNA (253 nucleotides) under uncultured bacterium. RNAcentral's name for it is "partial 16S ribosomal RNA". It matches the Rfam family "Bacterial small subunit ribosomal RNA", at positions 524 to 776 of the family's 1533-position model. The record is from RNAcentral.
UACGAAGGGGGCUAGCGUUGUUCGGAAUUACUGGGCGUAAAGCGUGCGCAGGCGGCUUCUCAAGUCAGGAGUGAAAUCCCUGGGCUCAACCCAGGAACUGCGUCCGAUACUGGUUGGCUUGAAUCCGGGAGAGGGAUGUGGAAUUCCAGGUGUAGCGGUGAAAUGCGUAGAUAUCUGGAGGAACACCGGUGGCGAAGGCGACAUCCUGGACCGGUAUUGACGCUGAGAUGCGAAAGCGUGGGAAGCAAACAGG